RNAcentral lists this ribosomal RNA (560 nucleotides) under Helicotylenchus pseudorobustus. RNAcentral's name for it is "eukaryotic LSU rRNA". The stretch from base 385 to 560 matches the Rfam family "Eukaryotic large subunit ribosomal RNA", at positions 665 to 813 of the family's 3401-position model. Lineage: Eukaryota; Metazoa; Nematoda; Chromadorea; Rhabditida; Hoplolaimidae. The record is from RNAcentral.
CGGACAGAGCUGGCGUAUCUGGCCUGCAUUCAGCCGCUGCGCGUCGGGCCCCGGUUUGCCGCACUCCAGAUUGGGAAGGUGGCUGGGCUGCUGGCGUGCUUGUGGUGCAUUUGCAGGUGGAGUGCGCUGAGGCGCUCGGCUCAGCGGCAUGAGCUCGGCCUUGAGGCCAACCGUGCAAGCGGUCUGGUACCCGGGUCGGGGGAGUGUUGUUUGGGCUGAGUGUUCGCUUGGGCACUGGUUUCGGGCCCGGGUGGGUGCCGAGCUGGCGGUCGACGUCGGUCGCAUGCGACACGUGUCAGCAAUCAGUUCGGUCCUGCUCGAGCUCUCGCGUGUCCGGCCUCGGUGUAAAAGCCGGUCAUCUGUCCGACCCGUCUUGAAACACGGACCAAGGAGUUUAGCGUGUGCGCGAGUCAUUGGGCGUUGAAAACCCAAAGGCGCAAUGAAAGUGAAGGUCUGCCUUGUGCAGCUGAUGUGUGAUCCUGGGUGCUGCGGUGCCCGGGCGCAACAUAGUCCCGUCCCGACUGCAUGCAGUGGGGCGGAGACAGAGCGUACGCGCUGAG